This 224-nucleotide long non-coding RNA is filed under the name Mytilus galloprovincialis (Mediterranean mussel). Lineage: Eukaryota; Metazoa; Mollusca; Bivalvia; Mytilida; Mytilidae. The record is from RNAcentral.
UGGUGGACUGAUUAAUAAAGAUACUUGUAUCAAACUAGAUAUCACUGGAAUCAAAAUGAUCUCUAGUUUAUAAUGGAAUAAAAAAAAGUGCACUUUUAAUGGUAUAAAAAAGUUUUAUCCAGAGAAACUGGGAAAAACAUUGCCUAAUUUAAGCUUAAAAAACCUGAAAUCAGGUCAUGUGCACACCCCUGAAAACAUGAUACCUGCACAUUUUUCAUAAUCAA